GAUGAACGCUGGCGGCGUGCCUAAUACAUGCAUGUCGAGCGAACAGACGAGGAGCUUGCUCCUCUGACGUUAGCGGCGGACGGGUGAGUAACACGUGGAUAACCUACCUAUAAGACUGGGAUAACUUCGGGAAACCGGAGCUAAUACCGGAUAAUAUAUUGAACCGCAUGGUUCAAUAGUGAAAGACGGUUUUGCUGUCACUUAUAGAUGGAUCCGCGCCGCAUUAGCUAGUUGGUAAGGUAACGGCUUACCAAGGCAACGAUGCGUAGCCGACCUGAGAGGGUGAUCGGCCACACUGGAACUGAGACACGGUCCAGACUCCUACGGGAGGCAGCAGUAGGGAAUCUUCCGCAAAGGGCGAAAGCCUGACGGAGCAACGCCGCGUGAGUGAUGAAGGUCUUCGGAUCGUAAAACUCUGUUAUUAGGGAAGAACAAAUGUGUAAGUAACUAUGCACGUCUUGACGGUACCUAAUCAGAAAGCCACGGCUAACUACGUG
RNAcentral lists this ribosomal RNA (497 nucleotides) under uncultured bacterium. RNAcentral's name for it is "partial 16S ribosomal RNA". It matches the Rfam family "Bacterial small subunit ribosomal RNA", at positions 28 to 507 of the family's 1533-position model. The record is from RNAcentral.